AGAGUUUGAUCAUGGCUCAGAUUGAACGCUGGCGGCAUGCUUUACACAUGCAAGUCGAACGGCAGCACAGGGAGCUUGCUCCCGGGUGGCGAGUGGCGCACGGGUGAGUAAUACAUCGGAACGUGUCCUGUUGUGGGGGAUAACUGCUCGAAAGGGUGGCUAAUACCGCAUGAGACCUGAGGGUGAAAGCGGGGGAUCGCAAGACCUCGCGCAAUUGGAGCGGCCGAUGCCCGAUUAGCUAGUUGGUGAGGUAAAGGCUCACCAAGGCGACGAUCAGUAGCCGGACUGAGAGGUUGACCGGCCACAUUGGGACUGAGAUACGGCCCAG
Molecule: ribosomal RNA, 328 nt
Filed under: uncultured bacterium
Lineage: Bacteria
Description: bacterial SSU rRNA
Rfam family: Bacterial small subunit ribosomal RNA
Source: RNAcentral